UACGGAGGAUCCGAGCGUUAUCCGGAUUUAUUGGGUUUAAAGGGUGCGCAGGCGGAAGAUUAAGUCGGCGGUGAAAUUUUGCAGCUCAACUGUAAAAGUGCCUUCGAAACUGGUUUUCUUGAGUGUGGAUGAAGUAGGCGGAAUUUGUGGUGUAGCGGUGAAAUGCAUAGAUAUCACGAGGAACUCCGAUUGCGCAGGCAGCUUACUAAGCUACAACUGACGCUCAUGCACGAAGGCGUGGGGAUCAAACAGGAUUAGAUA
This 261-nucleotide ribosomal RNA is filed under the name uncultured prokaryote. RNAcentral's name for it is "partial 16S ribosomal RNA". It matches the Rfam family "Bacterial small subunit ribosomal RNA", at positions 524 to 784 of the family's 1533-position model. The record is from RNAcentral.